AUUGAACGCUGGCGGCAGGCCUAACACAUGCAAGUCGAGCGGAUGAAGGGAGCUUGCUCCUGGAUUCAGCGGCGGACGGGUGAGUAAUGCCUAGGAAUCUGCCUGGUAGUGGGGGAUAACGUCCGGAAACGGGCGCUAAUACCGCGUACGUCCUGAGGGAGAAAGUGGGGGAUCUUCGGACCUCACGCUAUCAGAUGAGCCUAGGUCGGAUUAGCUAGUUGGUGGGGUAAAGGCCUACCAAGGCGACGAUCCGUAACUGGUCUGAGAGGAUGAUCAGUCACACUGGAACUGAGACACGGUCCAGACUCCUACGGGAGGCAGCAGUGGGGAAUAUUGGAUAAUGGGCGAAAGCCUGAUCCAGCCAUGCCGCGUGUGUGAAGAAGGUCUUCGGAUUGUAAAGCACUUUAAGUUGGGAGGAAGGGCAGUAAGUUAAUACCUUGCUGUUUUGACGUUACCAACAGAAUAAGCACCGGCUAACUUCGUG
RNAcentral lists this ribosomal RNA (484 nucleotides) under uncultured bacterium. Its description in RNAcentral is "partial 16S ribosomal RNA". It matches the Rfam family "Bacterial small subunit ribosomal RNA", at positions 30 to 507 of the family's 1533-position model. The record is from RNAcentral.